Molecule: long non-coding RNA, 736 nt
Organism: Hipposideros armiger (great roundleaf bat)
Lineage: Eukaryota; Metazoa; Chordata; Mammalia; Chiroptera; Hipposideridae
Exons: 3
Source: RefSeq, a predicted model, not a curated record
AGCUUCUCGGCAGCGUGACCUAAACCCUCCCUGCUGGCUCCUUGGCAGAGCCUGGAGGAGAGGGAAAAUGCCAGUCUCAGCACUAGGCCUACCCAGCCUGCACUCUGCCUUAUGCUUUUAUCGCAGCUGGCUCCGGGUGAGAUGAUCAUUUCUCAACUGAAAGGGAAUUGGGGGUGGCCUGGGAACCAGGCAGGACCCUCCUGCCACUCACAAUGUCCUUGCUCCAAUUUCAUAGAUUAAGAGAGAGACGCUGGGAAGCUAGAUCAUCUGCGAAUGAGGAUAGUCCAGACUCUGCACAUGGCUGCUGGGCCGUGAUUGCUCCAUGUCAUCACUGGGCUCACCAUGACAGAGAGGACACCCUCAUCAUGGUCUGGUCAAAAUUAUGCAGAGGAAUGCACCAAUGCAUGGGUUUUGAUUAAAGAAAGCAAAGGGAUCUCCAAAGUGACAUCCAUGUGUCAUUCAGGGGAAGGUUGCUGCCAUGACUUGAAGAUGCCCAUGUAGCCUGUGGACAGGCUCACAUGGUGAGGAACUGAGGGCCCCUGUCCACAACCAUGUGAGUGAGCCAGGUUGGAAGCGGAUCCUUCAGCACCAGUAAAGCCUUCAGAGACUGCAGCUCUGACCCACAUUCUGAAUGCAACUACAUGAGAUACCCUGCUGGAAAUACCCUGCUAAGCUGCUUCUGGAUUUCUGAACCAGAUAAAACUGUGCGAUAAUAAAUGGUUAUUGUUUGAAGCCA